AUCUUCAGGGCGGGGUGUGAUUCCCCACCGGUGGUAUAGCCCAUGAGCCGUAAGGCAUGAUUCGGUGUGAUUCCGAGGCCGACAGUAAAGUCUGGAUGAAAGAAGAUG
RNAcentral lists this non-coding RNA (108 nucleotides) under uncultured Enterocloster sp. RNAcentral describes it as "FMN riboswitch (RFN element)". It matches the Rfam family "FMN riboswitch aptamer (RFN element)". Rfam says of the family: The RFN element is a highly conserved domain that is found frequently in the 5'-untranslated regions of prokaryotic mRNAs that encode for flavin mononucleotide (FMN) biosynthesis and transport proteins. The record is from RNAcentral. Lineage: Bacteria; Bacillati; Bacillota; Clostridia; Lachnospirales; Lachnospiraceae.